RNAcentral lists this ribosomal RNA (1164 nucleotides) under uncultured fungus. Its description in RNAcentral is "eukaryotic LSU rRNA". The stretch from base 530 to 1164 matches the Rfam family "Eukaryotic large subunit ribosomal RNA", at positions 1 to 649 of the family's 3401-position model. The record is from RNAcentral. Lineage: Eukaryota; Fungi.
AAGUCGUAACAAGGUUUCCGUAGGUGAACCUGCGGAAGGAUCAUUACAUAUUAAGCAAAGCCGGGUACAAGAGCCACCGCUUCGGCGCCACUCUUGUCAUGGUCGCGCGAAUAUUCACCCAUGUUUUUGCGUACUUCUUGUUUCCUUGGUGGGCUCGCCCGCCACAGGACAACCAUUAAACCUUUUGUAAUUGCAGUCAGCGUCAGUAAAAUGUAAUCGUUACAACUUUCAACAACGGAUCUCUUGGUUCUGGCAUCGAUGAAGAACGCAGCGAAAUGCGAUAAGUAGUGUGAAUUGCAGAAUUCAGUGAAUCAUCGAAUCUUUGAACGCACAUUGCGCCCAUUGGUAUUCCAAUGGGCAUGCCUGUUCGAGCGUCAUUUGUACCCUCAAGCUUUGCUUGGUGUUGGGCGUUUGUCUUUCGAGACUCGCCUUAAAAAGAUUGGCAGCCGGCAUACUGGUUUCGGAGCGCAGCACAAAUUGCGGUCUGUUCCUGAAUGUUGACGUCCAUGAAGCCCCCCAUUAUCACUUUUGACCUCGGAUCAGGUAGGGAUACCCGCUGAACUUAAGCAUAUCAAUAAGCGGAGGAAAAGAAACCAACAGGGAUUGCCUCAGUAACGGCGAGUGAAGCGGCAUCAGCUCAAAUUUGAAAUCUGGCUCUUUUAGAGUCCGAGUUGUAAUUUGCAGAGGGCGCUUUGGCAUAGGCAGCGAUUCAAGUUCCUUGGAACAGGACGUCACAGAGGGUGAGAAUCCCGUACGUGGUCGCUAGCUCUUGCCGUGUAAAGCCCCUUCGACGAGUCGAGUUGUUUGGGAAUGCAGCUCUAAAUGGGAGGUAAAUUUCUUCUAAAGCUAAAUAUUGGCCAGAGACCGAUAGCGCACAAGUAGAGUGAUCGAAAGAUGAAAAAAACUUUGGAAAGAGAGUUAAACAGCAUGUGAAAUUGUUGAAAGGGAAGCGCUUGCAGCCAGACUUGCCUGUAGUUGCUCAUCCGGGCUCUUGCCCGGUGCACUCUUCUGUAGGCAGGCCAGCAUCAGUUUGGGCGGUUGGAUAAAGGUCUCUGUCAUGUACCUCUCUUCGGGGAGGCCUUAUAGGGGAGGCGACAUACAACCAGCCUAGACUGAGGUCCGCGCAUUCGUGCUAGGAUGCUGGCGUAAUGGCUGUAAGCGGCC